CCUACGGGUGGCAGCAGUGAGGAAUAUUGGUCAAUGGGCGAGAGCCUGAACCAGCCAAGUCGCGUGAGGGAGUACUGCCCUAUGGGUUGUAAACCUCUUUUGUCGGGGAGCAAAAGCCGGACGUGUCCGGCUGUGAGAGUACCCGAAGAAAAAGCAUCGGCUAACUACGUGCCAGCAGCCGCGGUAAUACGGAGGAUGCGAGCGUUAUCCGGAUUUUAUGGGUUUAAAGGGUGCGCCGGGGGAUUGUUAAGUCAGCGGGAAAAUCGUGGGGCUCAACCCCAUCCAGCCGUUGAAACUGGGGAUCUAGAGUGUGCGAGAGGUAUGCGGAAUGCGUGGUGUAGCGGUGAAAUGCAUAGAUAUCACGCAGAACCCCGAUUGCGAAGGCAGCAUACCGGUGCACAACUGACGCUCAGGCACGAAAGCGUGGGUAUCGAACAGGAUUAGAUACCCGAGUAGUC
Molecule: ribosomal RNA, 458 nt
Filed under: uncultured bacterium
Lineage: Bacteria
Description: partial 16S ribosomal RNA
Rfam family: Bacterial small subunit ribosomal RNA
Source: RNAcentral